CUCACAUUGAGGGAUCUAUAAAUGCUAUAACAAAAUGACAUGUAAACCUAGUUGAUAAUAUGUGACCACCAGGUAGGACCUGCUCUAGACUUUAACAGAAAUCUUCAAUGUCAUCAGUAGAUGUUGGACAACCUGCAGGCAUAUCUGUACUUUGUUUUGUGUGACACACCAGGACAACUAAUACAAAUAACUCAGGAACAAAGGGACCCUGAAAAAGGGCCACUUAACAUCUCUUAAUAUCUAGCUCAGUUUAAAAAAAAAUAUGAAGAAAUUACACAAAUUAUUAUUUCACGUAGAAAAUUAAACAGAUUUACUUUUAUGAAAUGAAGGCAACCCAAACAUUGCUAAAGUUAGCCAAACUAAAUUAUUUAAAAAAAACCUCCUGUC
This is a non-coding RNA of Pelobates cultripes (western spadefoot toad), 387 nucleotides long. Lineage: Eukaryota; Metazoa; Chordata; Amphibia; Anura; Pelobatidae. The record is from the annotation of a GenBank genome assembly.